This is a long non-coding RNA of Lineus longissimus, 804 nucleotides long. RefSeq lists it as uncharacterized. NCBI's taxonomy places the organism in Eukaryota, Metazoa, Nemertea, Pilidiophora, Heteronemertea, Lineidae. The record is from RefSeq and is a predicted model, not a curated record. The transcript has 3 exons.
AGAGGGAUGGCUUAUACACAAGUGCCCCAAAGCCGAGAAACAUUAUGUUAUCGUGAAUCAAGUGCCAUGCAGAUACAAACAGCCCUUGCUGCCCGCCCGAUUAAAAGGCACAAGCAAACACCCCUAAUGAUUUUGAAGAAGGAUUGGAAAGAAAAGAAGAUUCAAACGAUGAUUCAGAUGGUGAUAUGGUUGAAGAGUAAAAGGUUGUGGAAGGUCGUGAAAAGUUGCCGGAUGACCCAGAGGUCCCUCCUAUGACAUCGGAAGGUCCGUCGACCAAACGCCGCAGCUCUUCUCCUUCCGAACGGUCCACCACAGCCGACAAAGCUAAGAACGGGAGGACUACCAAGACACUGAGGAAGGGCAAAAUGAACCAGUUUGAAGAAGAAGAGUUGAGCCUGCUGAAAAAACUUACAAACCCUUGUAAGACACCUGCAAAACUUAAUCAAGACAUGGACGAAAUGGACUCUUUCUGUCGCCAUCUCUCCUUCAGACUCAAAAGGCUGGAUAGGCGUGGUCAGAUGAUGGCAGUACACAAAAUCGAAAAUGUCGAGUUUGACAUCGAGUAUAGUGGUUUGUGUGCAGGCAUUGUUUUGAUCAUCCCACUCCACAAAGCAGUGGGAUGCUUCCAUGUGACGAAGCUGGUUUGUCUCCGUUUCGUCUUGUCUCUCUGUCCUUGGUUGUGACGUUAGUGUGAUUCACGUCGGGCAGAUGGCACCACUGUUCUAGGUCAAGCGCCGCCAUCUCUCAACCAGUGAACACGUAGAUUUUCUUGUCUCCAAACUUCUGUAAAUUUCUCUAUACAUU